This is a long non-coding RNA of Carassius auratus (goldfish), 393 nucleotides long. RefSeq lists it as uncharacterized. The transcript is spliced from 3 exons. The record is from RefSeq and is a predicted model, not a curated record. Lineage: Eukaryota; Metazoa; Chordata; Actinopteri; Cypriniformes; Cyprinidae.
ACUUGUCUGACUUGAGGACUUUCUCAAGCUUGCUGGCUGGAUUGCUUCCAUGUCUGUCGUUGGUCUUCUUCCGCAGAAAAGUCAGGCGGUUUUUCAUGUCUUUGGCCCUGUGUGACGAGACAAAAGGCGUCACAUCAGACUCCAAUUCUGACGGCACCCAUUCACUGCAGAGGAUCCACUGGCGAGCAAGAGAUGUAAUGCUAAAUUUCUGCAGAUUUUUUGUCAAUGAUCAAACUCAUCUGCUUCUUGGGUGGCCAGAAGUGAAGAGCAGGCAGAUCUGGUGGACGGAUCCUCCGUUCUUGGUGAGCUCUUUCCUCAGGGUCUGCGGGGAGGGAACCGCCCAGCGCUCCGAAGGUUCCCGCUUGGCCUCUAUGCAGUCGAUGGCCUGAUCGG